Molecule: ribosomal RNA, 448 nt
Filed under: uncultured bacterium
Lineage: Bacteria
Description: bacterial SSU rRNA
Rfam family: Bacterial small subunit ribosomal RNA
Source: RNAcentral
CCUACGGGGGGCAGCAGUUUGGAAUUUUGGACAAUGGACGAAAGUCUGAUCCAGCGACGCCGCGUGGACGAUGAAGGCCUUCGGGUUGUAAAGUCCUUUUAGCAGGGAACAAUAUCUUGAGUGUACCUGCAGAAUAAGAGGUUGCUAACUCUGUGCCAGCAGCAGCGGUAAUACAGAGACCUCGAGCGUUAUCCGGAAUUAUUGGGCGUAAAGCGUACCGACAGGAGGUUUUACAAGUCAGAGGUGAAAUCACAAGGCUUAACUUUGUGACUGUCCUUUGAAACUGUAAGACUAGAGGGACAAAGAGGAAGCCGGAACGAACGGUGUAGUAGUGAAAUGCGUUGAUAUCGUUCGGAACACCGAUAGCGAAGGCAGGCUUCUGGGUGUCACCUGACUCUGCUAGGACGAAAGCGUGGGGAGCGAAUGGGAUUAGAUACCCUAGUAGUCC